This 433-nucleotide ribosomal RNA is filed under the name uncultured bacterium. RNAcentral's name for it is "partial 16S ribosomal RNA". It matches the Rfam family "Bacterial small subunit ribosomal RNA", at positions 29 to 507 of the family's 1533-position model. The record is from RNAcentral.
AACGAACGCUGGCGGCAUGCCUAACACAUGCAAGUCGAACGAGACCUUCGGGUCUAGUGGCGCACGGGUGCGUAACGCGUGGGAACCUGCCCUUAGGUUCGGAAUAACUCCCCGAAAGGGGUGCUAAUACCGGAUAAUGUCUUCGGACCAAAGAUUUAUCGCCUUUGGAUGGGCCCGCGUUGGAUUAGCUAGUUGGUAGGGUAAAAGCCUACCAAGGCGACGAUCCAUAGCUGGUCUGAGAGGAUGAUCAGCCACACUGGGACUGAGACACGGCCCAGACUCCUACGGGAGGCAGCAGUAUAGAAUAUUGGACAAUGGGCGAAAGCCUGAUCCAGCAAUGCCGCGUGAGUGAUGAAGGCCUUAGGGUUGUAAAGCUCUUUUACCCGGGAUGAUAAUGACAGUACCGGGAGAAUAAGCUCCGGCUAACUCCGUG